AGCCUCUAGAGGAAGGACAUUGCAAUACAAGUUCCCUUAAUCAUCCCAUGGCACUUGUCACUAGCAAGAGCCUGAUAUGGAUAUGUUAAUUUUCAACAUACCAUUUCUGCUUACCUCAGCAAGGGAGUGAACAAGCCUCAGCUGGGAUCUGCAAGCUUUGCAGGGAGGCAAGAAGCAGUUGCUUUUGGUUUUGUUUUGGCCAACAUAUCUGUGGCAUCUAUUUGCAUUUCCUCCACAGUGUGCGAUCAGAUUCAUCAGAGUCGGUGAUCAUAGAGAAGAGAAGGGCAGAAAACCUCAGGACCUAGGAACUUACCUAGCAGUGAUCCCUUUCUUAGCAGCUUAGAAACAAAGUCAAGGAACAAAGACCUAAGAAGGCAGCGAGGGUGAAACAGGAGGUGUUGGACUCGGCAUCGUGGAAGGCUGUCUGCUUGCCUUGCUGCAAACACCGCACUGCCACCCCACCCUUGGCUGUAAGCAAGAGAUUAACAAAGGUGGGAAAUAGAGGGAGAAAACAACCCAGCACAGAAAAUGCUGUGUGAGAACUGUAAGAAACAAAGGCCUGUGUAUCGGAAAAGAACUUGGAUGGUGGAAACCCCUAAGAAACGACAGAAUGAAGACCUCCUAACAUACUACCUACGUCUUCAGUAUGCAAAAAGGAGAUGCUUACAAGUGAACCAGAGCAUUGACGAUUUCCCUCUGCCUCGUUCUGACUCCAUGAUUAGAGACAUGGAAGUACUUCAGGAGUUCAUCAAGAAGUAUGAACCACGUGGAGGCCGUUUUAGCAACGAAGAAGUUGUUAUCAUCAGUGAAGACUAAAUAAAGUUCGCAAACCAAGAUCAUCAAUGUACCCUUACUGCGAUGGAGACUCAGACGAAGUAGAUGCACUUCCACAUGGUGGAGAUGACCAGUUUUAGUUACUUACAUAAAUUUGGAGAGACACACUUAAGUAGAUAAGAGAUGUA
This is a long non-coding RNA of Oxyura jamaicensis (ruddy duck), 962 nucleotides long. RefSeq lists it as uncharacterized. The transcript has 3 exons. Lineage: Eukaryota; Metazoa; Chordata; Aves; Anseriformes; Anatidae. The record is from RefSeq and is a predicted model, not a curated record.